UGGGGAAUAUUGCACAAUGGGCGGAAGCCUGAUGCAGCAACGCCGCGUGCGGGAUGACGGCCUUCGGGUUGUAAACCGCUUUCGCCUGUGACGAAGCGUGAGUGACGGUAAUGGGUAAAGAAGCACCGGCUAACUACGUGCCAGCAGCCGCGGUGAUACGUAGGGUGCGAGCGUUGUCCGGAUUUAUUGGGCGUAAAGGGCUCGUAGGUGGUUGAUCGCGUCGGAAGUGUAAUCUUGGGGCUUAACCCUGAGCGUGCUUUCGAUACGGGUUGACUUGAGGAAGGUAGGGGAGAAUGGAAUUCCUGGUGGAGCGGUGGAAUGCGCAGAUAUCAGGAGGAACACCAGUGGCGAAGGCGGUUCUCUGGGCCUUUCCUGACGCUGAGGAGCGAAAGCGUGGGGAGCGAACAGGCUUAGAUACCCUGGUAGUCCACGCUGUAAACGGUGGGUACUAGGUGUGGGGUCCAUUCCACGGGUUCCGUGCCGUAGCUAACGCUUUAAGUACCCCGCCUGGGGAGUACGGCCGCAAGGCUAAAACUCAAAGGAAUUGACGGAGAUCACGUCU
This 562-nucleotide ribosomal RNA is filed under the name uncultured Propionibacterium sp. Its description in RNAcentral is "bacterial SSU rRNA". It matches the Rfam family "Bacterial small subunit ribosomal RNA", at positions 355 to 927 of the family's 1533-position model. The record is from RNAcentral. Lineage: Bacteria; Bacillati; Actinomycetota; Actinomycetes; Propionibacteriales; Propionibacteriaceae.